This 301-nucleotide ribosomal RNA is filed under the name uncultured bacterium. RNAcentral describes it as "partial 16S ribosomal RNA". It matches the Rfam family "Bacterial small subunit ribosomal RNA", at positions 509 to 809 of the family's 1533-position model. The record is from RNAcentral.
CAGCAGCCGCGGUAACACGUAGGGUGCGAGCGUUAAUCGGAAUUACUGGGCGUAAAGCGUGCGCAGGCGGUUUUGUAAGACAGGCGUGAAAUCCCCGGGCUCAACCUGGGAAUGGCGCUUGUGACUGCAAAGCUAGAGUGCGGCAGAGGGGGAUGGAAUUCCGCGUGUAGCAGUGAAAUGCGUAGAUAUGCGGAGGAACACCGAUGGCGAAGGCAAUCCCCUGGGCCUGCACUGACGCUCAUGCACGAAAGCGUGGGGAGCAAACAGGAUUAGAUACCCCGGUAGUCCCUGUCUCUUAUAA